GAAACUUAAAGGAAUUGACGGAAGGGCACCACCAGGUGUGGAGCCUGCGGCUUAAUUUGACUCAACACGGGGAAACUUACCAGGUCCAGACAUAGUAAGGAUUGACAGAUUGAUAGCUCUUUCUUGAUUCUAUGGGUAUUUUUGGUGGUGCAUGGCCGUUCUUAGUUGGUGGAGCGAUUUGUCUGGUUAAUUCCGAUAACGAACGAGACCUCAGCCUGCUAAAUAGUGUGCAUAUUCGAAAGAAUGUGUUCGACUUCUUAGAGGGACAUUUCGGUUUUACCGGAAGGAAGUUUGAGGCAAUAACAGGUCUGUGAUGCCCUUAGAUG
Molecule: ribosomal RNA, 326 nt
Filed under: Aurantiochytrium limacinum
Lineage: Eukaryota; Bigyra; Thraustochytrida; Thraustochytriidae
Description: partial Eukaryotic small subunit ribosomal RNA
Rfam family: Eukaryotic small subunit ribosomal RNA
Source: RNAcentral